AACUUUUUCUUUAUGAAUCUCAUAUAUAUCAUAGAAUCUAAUUGUUGGUCGAGACUACUACAAUCAGGUACCAAAAUAGCAGUUUUUGUGAUAUCCAGAUGGAUAGAGUGUAUUGGGAAGGCCUCCACAUCAAUGGGCUGUUUACUUCGGGGCAUAUAUCUUAAGGCUUACACAUUCAUCCAAGAAUUUAUUUUCCUCGGCCUUUCUCAU
Molecule: long non-coding RNA, 210 nt
Organism: Arabidopsis thaliana (thale cress)
Lineage: Eukaryota; Viridiplantae; Streptophyta; Magnoliopsida; Brassicales; Brassicaceae
Product: other RNA
Exons: 1
Source: RefSeq